CACGUAGGGUGCGAGCGUUGUCCGGAAUUAUUGGGCGUAAAGAGCUCGUAGGCGGUCUGUCGCGUCGGUCGUGAAAACCUGCAGCUUAACUGUGGGCUUGCGGUCGAUACGGGCAUGACUGGAGUUCGGCAGGGGAGACUGGAAUUCCUGGUGUAGCGGUGAAAUGCGCAGAUAUCAGGAGGAACACCGGUGGCGAAGGCGGGUCUCUGGGCCGAUACUGACGCUGAGGAGCGAAAGCGUGGGGAGCAAACAGG
RNAcentral lists this ribosomal RNA (254 nucleotides) under uncultured bacterium. RNAcentral's name for it is "partial 16S ribosomal RNA". It matches the Rfam family "Bacterial small subunit ribosomal RNA", at positions 524 to 776 of the family's 1533-position model. The record is from RNAcentral.